AAAAAUUUAGUUAAAAAAUAACAUCAAUUUGUCAAAUUGAAGUCAAUAUUUAUUAUUAAUUUUUA
RNAcentral lists this transfer RNA (65 nucleotides) under Cteniopus sp. AH-2016. RNAcentral describes it as "tRNA-Asp". Lineage: Eukaryota; Metazoa; Arthropoda; Insecta; Coleoptera; Tenebrionidae. The record is from RNAcentral.